This 2732-nucleotide ribosomal RNA is filed under the name Rhodospirillales bacterium. RNAcentral describes it as "23S ribosomal RNA". It matches the Rfam family "Bacterial large subunit ribosomal RNA". Lineage: Bacteria; Pseudomonadati; Pseudomonadota; Alphaproteobacteria; Rhodospirillales. The record is from RNAcentral.
CUCGAGCGAAAAGAAGGGCAUUUGGUGGAUGCCUUGGUACCGAGAGGCGAUGAAGGACGUGGCACCCUGCGAAAAGCUUCGGGGAGGGGGGAGCACCCUAUGAUCCGAAGAUCUCCGAAUGGGGCAACCCACCGCGCGAGCGGUAUCGGCCCGUUAAGGGUCGAGGCGAACCCGGCGAAUUGAAACAUCUCAGUAGCCGGAGGAAAGGACAUCAACAGAGACUCCCCUAGUAGUGGCGAGCGAACGGGGACCAGGCCAGUGGCGUGCGGAUUAGAACCGGAACCGUCUGGAAAGGCGGGCCAGAGCGGGUGAUAGCCCCGUACGGGUAGAAGGUUCGUGCGUCCUUGAGUAGGGCGGGACACGUGUAAUCCUGUCUGAACAUGGGGGGACCACCCUCCAAGCCUAAGUACUCCUCGGUAACCGAUAGUGCACCAGUACCGUGAGGGAAAGGUGAAAAGCACCCCGACGAGGGGAGUGAAAGAGACCUGAAACCGAAUGCCUACAAGCAGUGGGAGCGGGAGUGAUCCCGUGACCGCGUACCUUUUGUAUAAUGGGUCAGCGAGUUGAUCUUGCGAGCAAGCUUAAGCCGUUAGGUGUAGGCGCAGCGAAAGCGAGUCUGAACAGGGCGUUCAGUUCGUAGGAUCAGACCCGAAGCCGGGUGAUCUAGCCAUGGGCAGGUUGAAAGUGGGGUAACACCCACUGGAGGACCGAACUCACGUCUGUUGAAAAAGACGGGGAUGACCUGUGGUUAGGGGUGAAAGGCCAAUCAAACCCGGCGAUAGCUGGUUCUCCGCGAAAGCUAUUGAGGUAGCGCGUCGCGUAUCGCCGUCGGGGGUAGAGCACUGGAUGGACUAGGGGGGCCCACAGCCCUACCAAAUCCAACCAAACUCCGAAUACCGACGAGCGUCAGCGCGGCAGACAGACGGUGGGUGCUAAGAUUCAUCGUCAAGAGGGAAACAGCCCAGACCGCCAGCUAAGGUCCCCAAGUCGUGGCUAAGUGGGAAAGGAUGUGGGAAGGCCAAGACAACCAGGAGGUUGGCUUAGAAGCAGCCAUCCUUUAAAGAAAGCGUAAUAGCUCACUGGUCUAGUUAAGCCGUCCUGCGCCGAAAAUGUAACGGGGCUCAAGCCACGCACCGAAGCUGCGGACUCGAAAGAGUGGUAGCGGAGCGUUCCGUAAGCCUGCGAAGGUGGUCCGUGAGGACUGCUGGAGGUAUCGGAAGUGAGAAUGCUGACAUGAGUAGCGACAAAGCGGGUGAGAAACCCGCUCGCCGCAAGUCCAAGGGUUCCUGCGCAAGGCUAAUCCGCGCAGGGUGAGCCGGCCCCCUAAGGUGAGGGCGAAAGCCGUAGCCGAUGGGAACUGGGGUUAACAAUCCCCGGCCUGCCGUGAGUGACGAACGCAAAGUGUUGUCGGGGCUUAUCGGAUUGUCCCGGCGGCUGGCGCGUUCCAGGAAAGAGCUCCGGCGUUAAGACCGUACCCGAAACCGACACAGGUGGACUGGUAGAGCAUACCGAGGCGCUUGAGAGAACGGUGUUGAAGGAACUCGGCAAAUUGCCCGCGUAACUUCGGAAGAAGCGGGCCCCGUUCCUGGGCAACCAGGGGCGGGGGGCACAGACCAGGGGGUGGCGACUGUUUACUAAAAACACAGGACUCUGCAAAGCCGCAAGGCGACGUAUAGGGUCUGACGCCUGCCCGGUGCCGGAAGGUUAAGAGGAGGGGUGCAAGCUCUGAAUCGAAGCCCCGGUAAACGGCGGCCGUAACUAUAACGGUCCUAAGGUAGCGAAAUUCCUUGUCGGGUAAGUUCCGACCUGCACGAAUGGCGUAACGACUUCCCCACUGUCUCCAACACCGGCUCAGCGAAAUUGAAUUCUCCGUGAAGAUGCGGAGUACCCGCGGUCAGACGGAAAGACCCCGUGCACCUUUACUACAGCUUUGCAGUGGUACUAGGGAUUAGAUGUGUAGGAUAGGUGGGAGGCUGCGAGACGAUGCCGCCAGGUGUCGUGGAGCCACCCUUGAAAUACCACCCUUCCGGUCUCUGGUAUCUAACCGCGCCGUGUCAUCCACGGCCGGGACCCUGCAUGGCGGGUAGUUUGACUGGGGCGGUCGCCUCCCAAAGAGUAACGGAGGCGCGCGAUGGUGGGCUCAAGCUGGUCGGACAUCAGCUGUCGAGUGCAAUGGCACAAGCCCGCCUGACUGCGAGACUGACACGUCGAGCAGAGACGAAAGUCGGCCAUAGUGAUCCGGUGGUCCCGCGUGGAAGGGCCAUCGCUCAACGGAUAAAAGGUACGCCGGGGAUAACAGGCUGAUCUCCCCAAGAGUCCACAUCGACGGGGAGGUUUGGCACCUCGAUGUCGGCUCAUCACAUCCUGGGGCUGGAGCAGGUCCCAAGGGGUUCGGCUGUUCGCCGUUUAAAGAGGUACGUGAGCUGGGUUUAGAACGUCGUGAGACAGUUCGGUCCCUAUCUGCCGUGGGUGUACGAGACUUGAGAGGAGCUGCCCCUAGUACGAGAGGACCGGGGUGGACGAACCUCUGGUGGACCGGUUGUCGCGCCAGCGGCACAGCCGGGUAGCUAAGUUCGGACGAGAUAACCGCUGAAAGCAUCUAAGCGGGAAACUCCCCUCAAAACCAGGUCUCGCAUGAGAGCCGUGCAAGACCAGCACGUCGAUAGGCCGGAUGUGGACGCGCAGCAAUGCGUGCAGCUAACCGGUCCUAAUCGCUCGAUCGCGCUCGAAAA